Molecule: long non-coding RNA, 1656 nt
Organism: Mercenaria mercenaria
Lineage: Eukaryota; Metazoa; Mollusca; Bivalvia; Venerida; Veneridae
Exons: 2
Source: RefSeq, a predicted model, not a curated record
AAAUUAGAAUUUAUCACUCAGUAAAAGAGGAAGGGUAAAUUAGGAUUUAUCACUCAGUAAAAGAGGAAAGGUAAAUUAGAAUGUGUCACUCAGUAAAAGAGGAAGGGUAAAUUAGAAUGUGUCACUCAGGAAAAGAGGAAAGGUAAAUUAGAAUGUGUCACUCAGUAAAAGAGGAAGGGUAAGUUAUUAGAAUGUGUCACUCAGUAAAAGAGGAAGGGUAAAUUAGAAUUUAUCACUCGGUAAAAGAGGAAAGGUUUAUUAGAAUGUGUCACUCAGUAAAACAGGAAGGGUAAAUUAGAAUUUAUCACUCGGUAAAAGAGGAAAGGUUAAUUAGAAUGUGUCACUCAGUAAAAGAGGAAAGGUAAAUUAGAAUUUAUCACUCAGUAAAAGAGGAAAGAUAAAUUAGAAUGUAUCACUCAGUAAGAGAGGAAAGGUAAAUUAGAAUUUAUCACUCAGUAAAAGAGGAAAGGUAAAUUAGAAUUUAUCACUCAGUAAAAGAGGAAAGGUAAAUUAGAAUGUGUCACUCAGUAAAAGAGGAAGGGUAAGUUAGAAUGUGUCACUCAGUAAGAGAGGAAAGGUAAAUUGAAAUGUGUCACUCAGUAAAAGAGGAAAGGUAAAUUAGAAUGUGUCACUCAGUAAAAGAGGAAAGGUAAAUUAGAAUGUGACAAUCAGUAAAAGAGGAAAGGUAAAUUAGAAUGUGACAAUCAGUAAAAGAGGAAGGGUAAAUUAGAAUGUGUCACUCAGUAAAAGAGGAAAGGUAAAUUAGAAUGUGUCACUCAGUAAAAGAGGAAGGGUAAAUUGGAAUGUGUCACUCAGUAAAAGAGGAAGGGUAAAUUAGAAUUUAUCACUAAGUAAAAGAGGAAAGGUAAAUUAGAAUUUAUCGCUCAGUAAAAGACGAAAGGUAAAUUGGAAUGUGUCACUCAGUAAAAGAGGAAAGGUAAAUUAGAAUGUGUCACUCAGUAAAAGACGAAAGGUAAAUUAGAAAGUGUCACUCAGUAAGAGAGGAAGGGUAAAUUGGAAUGUGUCACUCAGUAAAAGAGGAAAGGUAAAUUAGAAUGUGUCACUCAGUAAAAGAGGAAAGGUAAAUUAGAAUGUGUCACUCAGUAAGAGAGGAAAGGUAAAUUGAAAUGUACCACUCGUUACGAGAUGUAAGGUAAAUUAGAAUGAGAGGAAAGGUAAAUUAGAUUAAGAAGGUAAAUUAGACAGUAUCACUCAGUUGGACAGGAAAGGUAAAGUAGAAUGAGAGGAAAGUUAAAUUGGAAUGUAUCGCUCAGUAAGAGAGGAAAGGUAAGUUAGAAUGUAUCACUCAGUAAGAGAGGAAACGUAAAUUAGAAAGAGAGGAAAGGUAAGUAAGAAAGGGAGGAAAGAUAAAUUAGAAUGUAUCACUCAGUAAGAGAGGAAAGGUAAGUUAGAAUGUAUCACUCAGUAAGAGAGGAAAGGUAAAUAAGAAAGAGAGGAAAGGUAAAUUAGAAAGGGAGGAAAGAUAAAUUAGAAUGUAUCACUCAGUAAGAGAGGAAAGGUAAAUAAGAAAGAGAGGAAAGGUAAAUUAGAAAGGGAGGAAAGAUAAAUUAGAAUGUAUCACUCAGUAAGAGAGGAAAGGUGAAUUAUAAUGUAUCACUCAGUAAUGGAGGAAAGGUAAAUUAGAAAGAGAGGAAA